AUGUCAUCAACAGAGGGAUGAGUCUGCUCUGUUCAGGGAGGGGCAGAAAAUCAGAAGUUACACUCAUUCAUACAACAGAAGGAGCGUGGCUGCUCACUGAGAAGUGUUGCACUCACUUGUUUGUACUUUCUCAGUAGCGAAUUUGCAGUCAAGGUACGUGCUUCCACUUCUUUUUCAUUUGAAAAGUUGUCAUUAUUUAAAUUCAGUAGUUUGUUACUUUUUCGAAGCCACUUCUUGAAUUCUUAAUACAUUUUUAGUUCAAUUAGAAAAGAACUGGCAUCAUUAAGAUUCCAAGAACAGAGGAAGAAAAUAAUUAUCACUGAUGCAGUGUGCUAACUUGGCAGAUUUUGCUGAGGUGAAACAUUUACAGAAAAAAAAGUGCUUUAUUUCAGAGUGCUUAGGAUGCCACAUACACAGGGACUGUUGGGUAUGGGCUACGUGAGGGAAACAAUCUGUUCUGUCUGGAGGGCAGUCAGUGUGUUCCAUUUGUUUUAGCUAGGAGAGAACAGAAGGUACAAAUAGCUAACUUCAUUUUCAGCUGAGAACUUACCUAACAAGAACGAGGGAAAAGGCAGUGACAAUUCUUUCUGUGUGCCUUCAACGUUUUCUCACUGUUUAUUGUUUUGAUUGUCAACUUUGUGCCACAGUGUGGAUGUGUUUGUACCUCAUGCUGCUGACCUGUCUCAUCUGUACUGGCAAAAUGGCAAAGACUAAACCUUACGAGUUAUUUCUUGUGUAACAAGGAAAGGUUUCAGUUCACCUUUGAACAACUUCAUUGGUUUCCUUCUGAUUUUUAUAUUAAAAUGAAAAAAUACAGUGAAAGCAUGAUUUAUAAGAUGCUUAUAAAAAUAAAAAGCUUAGAACUGGAAAUGUAAUUAGAAUAGUAUAACAGAAGGAUCAAAUACUGAAAUAUAUGCUACUCAUUUUCCAUUACGCAGUAUUGUAAGCAGUAGGCUGUGUAUAGUAACGAUAGUAACAAAAUAGUCAUGCAGCCAAAACAGUUCAAAGUUUGUCAUUAGAAUCCUUGGUUCUGAUACGUUGUAUGCAAUCAUACAGAUGCCACCUCCUAAAAUUAGAACGUGGUUUUAUCUUGAGCAGUUGUACACAUAUUCUUAGAGAAGCUUGAACAGAGAUAGUAAAUAAUAUAUUUCUUUUUAAAGCAGAAUCUCUAAAUCUGAAGUAUCAGGAUAUUGUGUAAUAUCUGUCAUGUGGCUCCUAUCUUUUCUGCUUUUUUUUUUUUUCUGGAAAUUCAUUAAGGAAAUAAUGAAGAGAAGCAUCUUGACGCUUCAGAAUCAUUCAGAAACUUCCAAAUAUAUCUGUCUUUUCAGUCUGAAGAGCACAAACAUAAAGAGAAGAGAUAAGCAUACCUAAGUUAAUAAAGAUGAUGGGAUAGACAGAGCAGAGACAUCUCCAGAACACUUCUGUCAGGUUUUCCAUUGAGCCCUGUACAUGCUAGAACAAGAUUAAGUGAGUAAGUCAGAGUUACCUGAACGUUUUGUACUGCCAACCCAACAGAAAAGCCCAGCCUUUCCUCUUGAGUUAGAGCUUCCUGAAUUAAGGAUCUCAUACCCACAAUAGAAAAAAAGAAUCUCAGAGCUGUAUUCUCAGAGCAAGUAUUAUCACAUUUAAACUCCUUUCCCAGAUAGAAAACAAGAGGUACUGGGAAGAAUUUUAGCCUAUUAGUUAUGAAGAGGAUAAAAUUCAGUGCUUAGGAAAAGUCAGUUUUAGAUAGUGUAUUUCUUCCUGGAAAGAAGGAGGCAAAAACUUUUAGAAACCCAAACCUCACUGUUUUCAGAGUCAGAGUAGGAAAAAUAAAUCUUAUUGCAAAUCCAGGAAGACUUGCUAGUGAAUAGAGCUUUGCUUUAAAAACAAACACAUUCCUUCCCAGUAACCAAGUCAGCAACAAAUGUACACCUGAGCUCAUUAGCAAUGUUAAUCAAUAUGAAAUUUAAAAGAGAGAGAGAGAGAAUAAACAUUUUCAGUCAAAAUGCCAUUUAGCUAAAAUCUGUUUUUUCUUUAAAAGCUACACAUAAGCCAGGCUUGUUCUUUUGUCACCAGUGGAUUUUAGAGCCCUCCCUCCACUCCAAACUUUUGGAUUUUCCCUGCCUUAUCUAAAUAUUGGUCUCUCUUCCUCCUUGCAUGCUUCAAAUUUUACACACACAUGGAUGAAACGUGUGCUCCUGCUCAGCUGAUGCGUGACUGCCAACAAACAGGGCCUCAAAGUGAAGGCAGAAGCUGUCCUUAGCUGAUCUGCUGCUUCAGCUGGUGUGACUUUGGGUGCAGAUGCCUGAAGCCUCCAGCUUCUCCUUGCACAAUGGAUUUGCAGCACUGUUGCUUUUCUGUUUCUCCUCCCUGUGCUGCUGCACAGUGUUUCUGACCAGGGAAAGGUUAAACAAGUGACUUUUCUUGAAGUGAAUCUAUUUCCUGAGCUGAUUAUACCAUUUGAGUACUUGUGACAUCUGCAAAAGAGUCACAGCCUACAGCACUGGAGUGGGAACAUGCAGUGGGGCAGACUGGGAACAGGUGAGGCAGCGAUGCUUUCAAGUGACAUUGCCACAUAUGUCCUCACCUUUUGAGAGUACACAGCUGGGUGAGCCCCUCUCCUAGCACAGCUAAGGAAGAGGACAUCCCCUGGUGAGCAUCGUAAGGAGAAGGGGUUUGUUUUGUCCAAUAGAGACUGGACUGAAAUCACACUGGUCAAACAGAAAAGUAAAUAUGAGCCAGCAGUGUGUGCUUGCAGCCUUGAAGGCCAACUGUAUCCUGGGCUGUAUCAAAACAGGGGUGGUAGAAAAGCAAGGAAGGGGAUUAUCCCCCUCUGCUCUGCUCUGCCUGUGUGAAGCCCCAUCUGGAGUAUUGUGUCCAGGCCUGGGGCCCCCAGCACAAGGAAAACAUGGAGCUGUUGGGGUAGGUCUAGAGGACAGUCACAGGGAUGAUCAAAGGGCUGGAACACCUCUGUUGUGCAGAAAUGUUGACAAAGUUGGACUUAUUUAGCUUGGAGAAGAAAAGGCUCCAAGGAGACCUCAUUGCAGCCUUCCAGUACUUGAAGAGAGCUUAUAAUCAGGAGAGAGACUGACAUUUUAAAAGGGCAAGGAAGAAUGGUUUUAAACUGAAAGAGGAGAGAUUUAGGUUAGUUGUUAGAAAGAAAAUUUUUACACAGAGGAUGGAUGCAGUGGCACAGGCUGACCAGAGAAGCUGUGGGUGCCCCAUCUCCAGAGGCUUUCAGGAUCUGGUUGGAUGGGGCCCUGGGCCCUGACCUGGUGGAGGACAGCCAACCCAUGGCAAGAGGUGGAACUGAAUAGUCUUUAAUGUCCCUUCCAACCUAUUCCAUUUGCUGAUUGUAUGAUAUAAUACAGGCUCAGGGAACAGUUUCACGACAGAUUCUGUUCAAACUGGAGCCCCCUGAUCCAGCUCCCCAUGAAGUCAGGCUCCUAUAAGGGAAACAGUGAGAACUCCAAACCCGUAUUGGAGGGAGGAGAGGGCAUCCCUGUGGCAUGACAGCCUGGAGGCAGUGAGGACUACCACAGCAAGAUGAGCAAUGCAAGAACACUAAAUACAGACACUGCAGGCUGCUGUCUUCCCAUAAAGUUAGACCUGCUAGCUAUCACCGCAGGGAUGAUAUGCCAUUCACUUAGAAGCAAUACUAGCAUAGUGAGGCUGAAGAACACUGACCGUGGUCCAUCACCUCACUACAAGCCCCAGACAGUAGAGAACAGACGCAAAGGGAACACAGAGCAGAAAGAAAAGGAAAAAUAGCACAAGGAGCAAAGUUGCCUGCUGAAAGCAAACUGUCUCCAUUCUGAUGAUAAGCAAGCCCAGAGCAUUCAGACAUUGUGGAAAAUCUGCUCCAUUACAAACUGCUUCAGGACUCUGCAAAUAUGCUGAAGUGGUGGAUUUUACCUCUUUUUGCUGCUGUGCUGUAUUUACCUCCCCUGUAUAUUAACUCUUCAGCAUGAUUCAGCAGCUCUGGGAUUGUCUUUGUGAUCCCUGCAAAUAAGGAGGAACUUUCAGGUUUGCAGACCCUCCAGGGCUAAGCCUUUCACACUCAGGUAUGCCAACGUGAUGAGGGUGUUGCAAACAAAGCCAGGCUUCGAGCUCUUGAAUUGCCAGAGUGGAGCUUCCUAAAUGCAGAAAUCCAUUUCUCACACUCAUCAUCUGCAAUAACCUCAGCAAUAUGGAGACCAAGCUGUGGUUAGAGAUCAAGGUCAUUUUGAUAUUAACAGGAUCUACAUAUGCAUGCACACAGGCAGAACUGGCUAUAGCGGGUUUUCCUCCUGCAGUGUUCCUGCAAGUUAUUUGGGAGCUGCAUCCCUGUGACCCUGGAGGGGCUUUUUCCCUUUCUUGUGGCUGUAUGGUCUGCCAGCUGACUGCCCAAAAGGCUGCUGCUCUUGGGUCACAGAACACAAAGGAUGGGCAGCAGGCUCCCCUCCAGAAGGCAGAUGCAAGCCCCUGCCCACACACAUGAUACAGACCCCAGCAAUGGUAAACUGCUUGCAGACACCAGGCAGGCCAGUAAGCUGGGAGCAGCUCUUCAGGUCUCCUGAGCUUUGUUGCAAGCAGCUGUGAGGCUUUCAUAAUUCAAAGGUGGGACCUGAUCCUUAAAUACAGAAUCACAGAAUAUCCCAAGUUGGAAGGGACCCAUAAAGACCACUGAGUCCAACUCCUUGCUCCAUGCAGGAGGAUGGAAAUAAUGAAAACAUUGUCACUAGGUUUUGGCUCAGCUUUGCAUGCACCUCUUAUAUUCUCCAGCACUCUUUCCCUAAAAUGGGCUAUAUUCUUUGCUCUUUCUAUUACAUUUAGCUUCUACUUAGACUAUAGGCAAUUUGAGGCAAAACCUGCCUGUAUACUUGCAGGGCUCUUGCACACUGAUUACCACUGAAACACCAGUUUAACAAAGACAGGAUGGUAAUAGAAUCAUCCUACAGGUUUUGCUCUGCCCACUCCUUCUGAUGCUGGGCACUGAAAAUCACAAACCAUUUUUCCCAAAGUGAACAACAAAGCAACAGGGAAAUGGUUUGUGGAACUACAAGUGAGCCUGAAAUCUUUGUUUUGUGGAAAUGUUCUCUCUUUUUUCUCUAGGCAAUCAUAGAAAUAUAGAGAAACACAUGCAGAGAGGUUAUUAGCAUCUUGUCAGAGAAGCAAAAUGCACGCUCCUCUACAUAAUCACUAUACCCACCCACCUCUGUUGUACUCAUUUCUAUGCCAUCCUCUGAGAUGGGGCAAUCCAUCUCAAACUUUCUGACUCCAACACUUGUUCCUGGUCCCCACAUUUUAACUUGCUACAAAAAAUUAAAUAUAUGUAUAUAUUGCCAUUCAUUUGUGAUUUGUUCAUCUAUUGUGAUUGACACAUAUGUUUGUUUAUUUCUUCUCCUUUGCUCAGGCAAAUAUUAUAUUUUAUUUAUUAUAGUUAAUGCUGAAAUAUGCAAGUAAUGAGAAUCUGGGAGUAACCCUCAUGAGCAUUAACAAAAACACUUAUCUUCUCAGAAACCAUUCUUUAUAGGGAUUUACAGCAAGUACAAGAAUCACAUAAUGAAAAUAACCUACUGGCAGUUUACAGAAGAAGGGUGCUGGUUUAAAAUUUGAGAGCUUUUUAAAUGGUGCUGCUCUUGCUUGUUUGUUUGUUUGUUUUCUUGGUGAGCUGUAAGUUCAUUUUCAAAGUGAUGCUAUUCCAGCCUGGUUAAAUGCACAUAACAAAUCUGACAAGAAGGCAAAUUGUGAAUGGAGGGGAUAUUAUUCACACUAGAUCUAAAUUUAUAACAUAUGCACUCGUAAAAACACAGGUAGAGACAUGUUGCAUGACAUAUGGAUUGUGUGCUCUCACAUUCUACUUACAUCAUUUCCCUGGGAAACUUUUUUUUUCAUUCAGAAGUCACCUCAUAGCCAAGAAAUUCCAGUCAGCUGGCUCAGCAAGAGGAAUAUUUCCCAAAACCAAAAGGAAGGAGAAGUAACAUAGUAGAGUCAGCUUUGGAAAGACAUUUCCUGCAAUAUUUUGGAAAUGUCAGUCCUUUUCAGAAAUGCAAGACAGCUACUUGUUUCCUUCCAUAAUAGACUUGGCCUACAAAUUGGUAUCUAAAGCAUGAAUACGGUGCUGUGCAGGACAUUGGGAAUUUCAUACUUCUGCACUUGCAAAAAAUCCAGGUUUUAUAACAUUUUGAAUGGAAUUUCCAGGUAAAAACUCUUAUUAAUUUGGUGUAUAUUUGACUCAAACAGAAAUUUUUAUUCAUUCAUUUUUUGCUUUCAAGCCCUUUUCUCUCCUGGGAGAUUAAACCCCUAUUUCCCUUCUUGCCUUCUUUCCAGUGUUCCUUCCUUCCAAUUAGUAAUCUUUCUCCAGUGUUUUCUUUAACAGUGUUAUGUUCUCUUCCAGAACUCACAUCCCCCCAUUUCCUCUCCACCUGUUCCUGGCCUGCCACAAGACUUUUCUGCCUGCUGCAGAGAGCUGUUGCAUGCCACAGAGAGCUUUAUGUGCUACAGUGCCUGCAAAAUUGGAGGUACCUGACUUCAAACAGGAUGUGAUUAACUUAAAUUAGAAUAUUUUCCAAAAUGAACUAAGCUGGUCAGAAGGUAGAAAUUCUGUUUCACAUAAAAGUUGGAAGGAGCAAAAGGAAGAAAUUCCCAUCUGGAAUGAAAGAAUCUUGAAAUUCUUUGUAGCAGCAAGAAACCAAACGACGUGCACUUGGUCAGGGGAAAUCUGCCUGGGAAUGGGCCCCACAGAAUUAAGAAUUUUGAAUGAGGCCUCUUUCUUCUAAAGCAAGCUCCUGGUGGAUAAUGUAGUACAUUGGCCACUUUCAUUCUCAGUGUUUUUUGGAGCUGCUUCACUUUGUAAAGAUAAUAAACUAUUUGGAUAGCCACAGAGCUCAAGAGUGAAUCUGAGCCUCAUGCUGAGCCAUGAGCUACUUGUCUGUAUGCCUCCUUCAUUGUUCAGAAUCAGAAACUACAUCUCCAAAAUCUUCCCUGUUAUUUUUCCCAAAUCAUUUUUGGGGAAAAAAAAAAAUUAAAUCUUUUUCUCAAGAAAUUUCCUGCUUUGGUUGUCCUUUUAAUAAAAGAAAUCUGCCUCCUCUGACAUGUAGUAAAACAUUUCAUACAGAGCUGCAGUAAUAGGUGAAGUAUGGGAAGAUUUGACCCAUGAAUUGUUACCACUGUACAGGCAGGACAGUAUCUCUGAUCUCAUGUCAUACUACAUAGCUGCCCAGUGACAACCCAACAUCAGUUGACUGCUCAACCUUAGAAGGAUCUCUGCUUUUGCUAGCUGUGGGUACAAGAAUUCUCUGAAGGGGCUGUGGCAUGUAUUCAAAAAAAGAACCUUUCAAACAAAAUCCUCACCAUGUUUUUGUGUUGGCACUCAUAAUCUCAAAAGAGCAAAUAGACAAAUCUUGGCAACCACGUGUACUCAAAAACUGUGGCCACAGAGUGAACAACAGAUUUUCUCUAUCAGAUUCCAGCAAGUCUCCGACAUCUCCUGCUGUUAACAAGGGAGGACAACAAAUUAGCACCUGGUUUAAUUUCAGAACACUGGCAAAGAAUGAAAAGGCAAAAAUAAGAUCAUAAUCCAAACACUGUUUGUUGUAAACUGGCAUUGUAAAUCACACCAGUUCUCAGAUGGAGAAGUAUCCUGAGCCUUCCAGACCACAGAGUUGAAAAACACAUGACUGCUUGUAUGGUCUAGUUUAUCACCAAAUACUUGUCAACAUUUAUUUGAAUGCUUCAUUCUGAAUUUCCAUAGGAAUACCGUGCACCUUCUCAUAAAAAUUGUCAUUGGUCUUCUAUGUUUCUCCUUGAGAAGGGAACUGUCUGGUGCUUGGUUCUCCAGAGAGUACAAAAUGGAAAAGAAAAUCAACCAUUAUAUAGUUAAUCAUACUUUCCAACCUAUUCUGCUGUCUGAGCCCAGUUUGAUGUUUGAAAACUGCAUCUUUACUGGAUGAUGUCCAUAUAUCAUAUGCUUUUUUGGAAGGCAUUAAGAGAGCCCAAGGCAUUCUGUUAUUACUAUCUUCUAGAAAAGACAGAUUGAGUAUGAUACCUUCAGAUAUCUGCAUGCGCAGCAUGCUGGUGAGGAUAACUGUAUCUGUAGAUGAAAUCUUUGUUGCAGCAGCACAAAGUGUGUUGUAAAAAUGUAGCAGAGCCUCAUCAGCUCAAGAGUAAAAUCUAUUGGAGAAACUUAGCCUUUUCUCAAGUCAUAGUUGUGAGAGUCACUUGUGAAAACGUGUAGAAAAUGCUGCAUUACUGCAAAUGCCAUUAAUAACUGUGUAAACAUUAUUGUAAUUGGAGGCACUCGGGGCAAAUCAGCCUUUUUUUGCCUAAAUGGCUGUUAAAAUGUUCUCUAGAAGCUAGAAGCAAAGUACUUUCAGGGCACAGAGCCAUUCAUUUGAAAGGCAAAUCUCAACAUUAAUUAGUACACAAAGGAAGCAGCAUGAAUAAACAUUAUUUGGCCAUUAGACCUUCACAUUUUACCUAGUCACGAGAACUUAGAGCUGAUACCCAGGAAAAAGAGCUGUUAGGAGAAAGGAAUGGCUAAACAGGGCCAAGGAAGUCUGGUAGGAGUAAUGUAGAGCUGAAGAGGACAUCCAUGUGCUCAUCAAUGAAGGAGCCUUAAGUGGAGUUUCAUAAGCUGCUGAGCAACUCUUCUGUGCCUCCACUAAAGCAAGGCAAGUAAAGGAACAUCAGUUGCUCCAUCUUCCUGCGAACAGAAGCACUUCAGAAUUUAGUUUUUUCCUGUUACUAUUCCACCUCUGUUGCUCUAUUCAUAUUGUCCAGAGCUUUCUGCAGGAUAUUCCCACUGUACAUGGUAGGGAAGACACCAAGAAAUUUAUGCCACUGGUAUGCUUCCUCAGUGUUUUCCUAUUUUUCGGCCAUGUAAAAAUAAGUGCAUGAAGGCAGGUUUGGUUUACUUUUCCUCUGUUAUUUUGCCCAUAUGUACCUUUUUUUUUUUUUUUUUUUUUUUUCUUGAGAGAACACAUAACAGUAAAAACAAAAACCAUUGCCUCUAGCUCAUCUGAUUUAGUUGUUGCCAAGGUACCACAGAGCUUUAUAUAGCAUUCCUAGUGUCCCAAAAGACAAGAAGCAGGAAUUUUCUUUAAAAACAACAGCAAUCCAAAGUCCAAUACACUGAGCAUCACAUCAAACUUACUCAUUUCAAAUACAGAAAAUUAACUAUUUUUCAGAUUUUAAGUAUGUUUUGUUGUUAAGCAUAAUUUUAUGUUUCAACCAUUUUUUUUUUCCACAACAAAUCAGCAGCUUCUCUUUUUCAACUCUUAAAACCUGGACUGUUUUAACAGACUAAUUCCCAGGAGACCCUUUUCCUUCUCUUCUUUUGCUGUAAUUCUGUAUUUCAUUUUAUAGCUGUAAUGCUCUAUUUUAUAGUCCCCAUAAUGCUCUGCUAAGCCUCAAAAUUUGCUAGUUUGUAGUAAUAUCAAAUGGCAAAGGGUCACCAGCAGCAUCAGCAGUUAUUUCAAGAACUCCAAGGUUCUUGCAUGGCUCCAGAAGCACGUGCUUCUCAGAGGUCCUAUCUCAUACUCAUUCCAAAAUACCCAUACUCAAGCACCUGAAUGGCCUCCCAAACACAUUUGGCUGCUGCUGUUCUUCAAAAUAAUUGAUUUUUUCUCUUAUGCAUCUCCUGUUCUAUAAUGACUUAAUAUCUUUUCUAAAGUCUUCCAUAUCUCCCCCUCUCCACAGUUCUCCCUAUGAUCACCUAAUGAGAUAAGUGAAGGAACAUAAAUAUCUGUAAGGCGAAUUUAACAGUACAUUCUUUAGUACUACACAGAUAACACACAUUUGAAACAUGACUCAAACAGCCCACUGCAUCACACAACAGCUCAUAAGCAGAUGUGACUGGGCACAUGUCAGCCCACAGCAUCACCCCUCAAAGUAGGCAUCCAGGCUCCCUUCUGCCACCAGGGAAAACCCAGUCAGUUAAAGUCAGCUUAUCUCCACUUACUUUUCUGACUUUGAAGAGCCAUACCUCUGUCCUGAUAUUAGCAAAAAGCUUCUUUAGCACAAGUCAGUUCAUAAGUUGCUUUCAACAAAAUGUCCAUAGCUUCCUAAGGAUCCUCUGUUGACCUUCUGCUUCUGUUUGUUGGGCUAAAUUCAACUUGAAGUUUCAAUUAUUAGUACAAGAAGCACAAAAUAAGAAUCUUAGGAUAAUCCAAGUUGGAUGGCAUCAAGGAAGUCUAACUUCUUGCCAUAGUCUGGGCCAGUGGUCUGGUAAGAUCGUGUUAACUCAAGUUUUCAUCCUUUCGUAUUUUUAAAACUACUGAUGACAAAGUUGAAAUUGAAUGAUUUAAUGUCUGGAGAAACUUGAAGACCUGUUUCUUUUAAUCUAAGGCUAGACUAUGAUGUUAAAAAUAACAAUUUCUCAUUUCAGAUGAAAUAAAUCUAUAGUAACAAAAAAGUACUUUCAGAACAGAAGCAACUUCAAACUUAGGUGCCGUUUGCAUCAUUUGGAGGACAUUCUACUGUUAGUAGAACCGUUUCUAAAAUAGGUAGUAACAAAUCAGAGAAUGAACACCACCAAUGUAGACCAAAUCUAUACAGAAUUCAUAGCGAGACUGGCCCUUUUUCAUACACAAUUACCCUUCCCACUGAUUCAGUUCAGAUUUUCCUCUUCCUACCAGUUUUUACAAGACUCCAGACAUUUUGUUCUGCUGUUCACAAUCUCUUGUAGUUAUUUUACACAUAGAUACCAUAUUCUAUCAGAACUAUUGGACUUAUUGAAUAGGAUAUAUAAAGCAUUGAAAAAUAAAAUCCCAAGUUAUUAUUGGAUAUGAAAAGUAUGGGAUUUUUCUGGAAAAGCAUAAUACUACAGAGUCUUAAGUGACUCCUUUCAAGAUAUCAAUUCAGAAAAAAAUAUUAUGUAAGGUGCUUCAUCUCACUUGAUUGGGCUUCUGUUCUUAGCACGUCUUUCUUUAGUUGAUUACAACAGCAUGUAUUGAAAGUGUGCGUCUUCCCAUCCCACCCAUGGGAAAGAAUAAUAGCCUAUUCCCACCUUAAACCCAUUGUUAUUGAGAUAAUUGCUUUAACAGAAUACAUAUUUUUCCUUUUUUUCUAACAUAAUUGACCCUUAAUGGUAACUGCAGUGUAGUAGCUGUUGUUCCAUGGUGUGCUUCAAGUUUACACACCAGAGUCUCUAAACUCCUCUUUUAAAAAGUAAAAACUUCAUUUUUGUUCACUGCCUUAAUUUUCUGACAAACUGGGGACUUCAUUCUCAUUAAAAAGCCUUUCCUUCUACAAGGUUAUUUUUGUCCCACUUGAGUUCCUCAAUCUGGUUCAACAUGAAGGCUCAUAAAACUGAAUAGUAAUUGUGAGGGUAGCCAUAGGGUGGAAAGGAACAGCAGAGAAUAAAGAGCAGGAACUGCUUAAGCCAGCAUUGCCACAGGAAGUAUCUGCUGAUCUACAACAUCAUGUGAACUAAAGCCAAGUAAAGAUUACUUAUACAAAGGGUGGAAAUUAGAAAUGAGUCACUGAGACAGUAAAAGCAGAGAAUAAAUCUUCUCAUUGUAAAACUGAAGGUAAGAAACAUUUUAAGAAUUAUUCAGGCACUUCUUCUGCCUCUCCAAAAUAAUGAAUACAUUCUCAGUAAAGCAGAAUUAAAAGGAUAUUCUGAGUAACUUUCAGAGUACAUUUCACAACAGCCACAUAAUUAUACAUUUUUUAUAUUCAGACAAAGACACAACUCAAAUGCUAUCUAAGGCCUAAGAGAGGGAAACAACCAAUCCCAUUGCCCUUGGUCUGGAUGGAAACAAGAGAGUUAAUAUACUGGGGACAGAUGACAAAGAUGAUUUCUGAAAUAAUAAAGUUGAGAAAAAGUUGAAUGAACAGCUUUGAAAAUAAGCCUAAAAAAGAACAGAAAUCAUAAAGAGAAUGUCUUUCCUGUGUUUUUGUUAACAACAAAGUCCAAAAAUAAGACCCACCACAGAAGAUGACCUUGAUCUUGUGACAUGUCUUCCAGUCCUUGCCAAAAAUCUUCUGCUUAGGCUAUUCCAUCAACUGUUCUUGAGGCCUACUGGACCUGCAGGUGUGAAGAUAAAGGAUACGCGUUGAAGUUGUUAUGUCAUAACAUCAUAAUAAAUUGAGAAAAAAUAAAAAUCUCUUUGCCCUGUAAACGUUAUCCUGGAAUGAAACUCUCUAAAUGUGUUAAAAUGAAAUCUACAUAUCAGUGGAUGGCAAACAUUUAUGACCUGUCAGAUGGUCUCAGAUGAGGCAGUUAGAGGAAGUUCUGUCACAUCUUAUUUUCUUAAGUCAAUAAAUUUUAACAUUAUAGGCCCUUGAGAAAGCAGAAGUAAUACUUUCAUUCAGCAGAAAACAGACUUUCUAGUAAGCACCAUGAUGCAGAAAACCACCCUUACCUAUAGCAUCUUUUAAACUCCUGUUAUUUCUCAUUUCAGUAACAGCAGAUCUGUCAGGCAGGUGCCUUUUUUUAAUUCUUAUGGCUCUGACAGCUCCUCUGUUGCAUUUAUUGUAGUUUUUAUAGCAGCAGGAAGAAGCAUGGCUGAUGGACUAGUGGGCAACACCAAAGGAAAGUUGGCUUCCUAAGCUGUCUUCAGGUAUAUUUAAGAGGACAAAUCCUCACAAAAAAUAAAUAGCAUUGGAACACCCUGAGGUCUGCACCAGAUCAGAGAUUUAGACUGGAGAGUGUGGCAGGCCUUGGGUGUUUUGCUGUUUCUUUCUGCAACUGACCUUUCUUCUAAAAAAGCACUUCACUAAACUCUCAUAUUUCAGAAGCAAGCCAAUGCCUCUCUUAAUUUGUAACCACUCAAAACUAUUUUUUUCCUCCCAGAUUUUCUGUUCUUUGUACCAUCGUCACCUGGUUAUAUAUAAAGCUACAGGUACAUAUGACAAACCAGCUACUGGCCGUACCUAAAUAAACAGAAAAUACUGUUAAGGAUGAUUCCACACACUCUUCAGUGUGGAUUUCAGCUGGGUGUUCUAUCCAGACUUCACAAGGCCUUUGUUCUGAAUCUGUAUCACUGAAAUGAAUUUCGGGUCUGGAUACCCAACUCCCAGGCACUACCACUAAAUAGGUCUGACACAAUUGCUUCCAUAACUGUGACAACAAGAGAUAGUCAUUCCAGGGAAUAGGAGAGGUAUAAAUUGAUUCUAUGUAAUCUCACAAAAAUAUUGAUUUACAUUCUGAUAAAUAGCAAAACCUUACCUGAAAAAGCUUAUAAAAGCCAUGAAGUUGAUUAAUCAUCAGUAUUGUACUACUUUAUUUUAGGGCACACAAUCUGGAGGCAUGAAUAGACUUCUGCAAUAACAUUUGUCCACAAGAUGAAACACGCCGUUUCAUUUUAAUUGAAUACUCUUUCCCUAAGUUCAGUGCAUGUAUCUAAUGGGCAGGAGUCAAAUGGAUAGGACCAGGCUCUGUUCAAUAGUGCCCAGCAACAGGACAAGGGGCAGUGGGUACAAACUACAAUACAAGAAGUUCCACAUAUACACAAAGAAAAACUUCUUUACUUUGAGGGUGACAGCACUGGAACAAGCUGCCCGGAGAUGUUGUGGAUUCUCCUCUUGAGAUACUCAAAACCUACACGGAUACUUUCCUGUGCAUCCAUGUGUGGGAAACCUGCUUUAGCUGCAGGGUUAGACUAGAUGAUCCCCAGAGGUCACUUCCAACCACUACAAUUCUGUGGUUCUGUGAAGAUGCUGGCAACAAAAUUCUCCUGCAGUGUUUGCAUUUUAAGCAGUCAGAAGGAAUAAAUCAAUAAGCCAGUUUCAACUUCUUACCGCUGAUUUUUUUUAGGGUUUUUUUUUUUUUUUUAAGUUUUUGUGUAGACUUAUAUCCUUCUUUAUGUAAUCCAAAUAAAAGAAGCAGUAAUUUGUGUAUGAGAUGACAUAAUGCUGUUUCUCUAAGCAAACAAAACAUACAAUAAUAAUAUUUAUAAUUCAGCCUUUUCCAUUUUUAAAAAUGUUGUCUGGUAUCACUACCACUUACGUUGAUGCUAAUAAAUAAGACCAAGAAUGACUAAGACCUCAAUCCAAGUGCCUGGAUAUAUAUCAGUACUGAACAAAAAAGUUCUUGAGCUGGGCAGCACAGACUCUGGUGACUUGAGAGUUGAUUCUAUUGUCUAGGGGGAGGGAAUGUUCAAAGUUUGCCUUGAAUAAAAUUGAAUCAAACCUCCCUUCAUCCUGGCAAAUUUUCUGGUGGAUAAGAAGCCUUAUACUGCCCAGAGAAGUAGGCAUGUUUUAAGAGGCAGAGCAUGGACACUGUGACACAGUGGGAGAGUGGUGUAGUGGUUCCUAGCACUUAUUCCAAAGUGACACAACAAUGGUUAGCUGACCUUGAUCACAAAAAGGAAAGGAAAUGAGAAAUUUUUCAUGUCUGUGUGAAAAGCUGAUAAACUGUAAACCCAGGACAACAGCAGUAGCUGGCAAGAACUCAGGGUGAAGACAUUUGACAGAAAUAUAACUGCAAGGAUACUCAGGUCCUUGUUUAGUUUUAAGCUGUAUCUACUAUUGCUUGAGGGCAAAAGAAGAGCUCUUUGUUGUAGGAGACCAUAAAUUAGAAAUGGAAGCGUGGAGGCCUGCAGUGACUCAUUUCAUCCCUAAGAUCCUAGCUGAUGUCAUUCAUGGACAAUUUGAUCAUACCAGGAUGUGGCUAUAAUUUACAAAUAAGAGAAAGCAUAAACUUUCAGAACCUGAAAUACUACAUCAUGUUUGUAAUUCCAGCACUUUUGUAAUCAGAAAUAUUGCUAUGGGCUAAACAAUCCUGCCUCAAGGAAUGUUUAUGCUACUUUUUUGUCAGUGUAAUUCAAACAUUUCAUCAUUCAUUUGGAUAUCAAGAAGAAAAAGUCCAUAAACUAUCAAACUGAGUAUUCUGGCUAAGUUUAAGGUAGUCCUUUCCUUCCCAUUUUAGUCUCCAAUACCUUUAUUUACAUAACGGUUUACACUUAGGUUUCCCAAUCCUCAAGAAACAAGCAACCAAAAAGGUUGAGGUUGUAUGGCAACAGUUUCUAUCUUCUGCUUUCUCCCCUGUUCUUUCAGAUUAUUUCUCACUAUAUCUCAGCACGUGAGCAAAUAUUUAGCAUAGUACAGUAAAAGUUUAACACCACUGUCAGAGGUACCCAAAUCUGAUUGUGAAAAACAUUCACUUGAUGAAGCAUGCGUAUUUCUCCAUUUGGAGAAGAAAACAUCCCAGCUUUCCUGGAACUCACAAAUAUCCAUUAGCACUAUUAACUGAGCUCUGAGCUUUUUUCCUCCGCAUUUGCAUUUCUUAUUUCACAGCUCUUGAUCUUUAGAGGGCUUAUCAUUGUGCUUCAUCGCAUUCUGCAUCUCCUCCUUCACACCAUCCAUAGUCUUUAGCAUGUACAGCAGUAGUGUUGAGACCUUACAUCUUCACCUAAUAAUUUAAGGGACUCCUGGACUCUGGGCAUUAUCUUUGACUUUCUGCUCCUCUUACACCUCUCUUGUGGCAUGCCCCCUCAGCCAGGAAGGUACGUACAAGUCCAUCCUUGAUUAAUAGAAGAACCCACCAGGUUUCCAGGCAAAGCCAAGAGGUGUUAAUGACUGUUCACAGCGCUCAGGUCUUUCAGGUCAUGGCAUUUCUGACUGUCACCUUUUGGGGUCCCUCUCUCAUUACCUGUAAACAAUCCAUGACCACAGCAAUUACAGUAUGUUACCCCCUUCUUCCCAAUCUCUUUGUGAGUGUACCUUAUUUGCAACAUUGGCAGGAUCAUGCCAUUCCACAACAUAUGACUGCAAUAGCCAACCCCAAAGCCCUGCUCCACUGCUCAGGACAGUGUUUGAAAAUAGUGGAGGGCUGGGUGCCAUCAGCACAGGCAAGGUGUGGCUAUCUGCCACACCAGCCAUGCUGCAGCCUCUGACUACCAAAGCCUACGCCCAAUACUACUAGCAAGAAAUAAAGUUCUGGAACAACAGAAAACAAUGACUGACAACAUUUUUAUCCAACUGUAAAGGAUGAAGUAUCCAAUAAUAAGAGGUGAACUUCAGCAGAAACAAAUUCGACCUACUACAGCAGUCCUUCAUAAUCAAUGAUAGUGAAUUGCUUUACAGUUUACAUCAAAAUCAUCAGAUAAAAUCAGUCCAAGAUGAGACAUUAAAACCGUUUUGCAUUGCACACACAGUGUCUUCGUGAGGGGAUUGCAUUUGUUUUCACUGUCCUGAGAUAAGACAAUGUCAAAUCAAUCCCUUUUCUAAAUUGUGGUUGUGUAUAUCAUAAUUUAUUCAGUAAGCACAUGGUUUAAAUGACUUUCCCGUGCUGCAGAGAAUAGCCCCAGUCAAUUGUUUAAAUAGGACACGUAAUGACGAUUAGUACAUUUUACACUAUUCACGCCCUCAUUUCUAACAAUGUUUUACAGAAGAGCCUGAGCUAAGGACCAAGGAGACAGAUCAGCCAGGAGCCGCACAGCAUGAGCCUUGGUCACAUUCUAACUAGGUCCUGAAGUCUGUUCCUAGACCACAGUAAUGUGACAGAAGUAACAUAUUUUAAACAAUUCUCCGUCUUUCCUUUCUAAAAUGCAACCGUUUAAAAGGUGAAUUAAAAGGAAAAAAAUAUCAUUAACCAAUGGGCAGUUUUUGUGCUUCCGUUUGCUGUAAAAUUAUUCCUGGUUCUUGCUUUCCUAUUAGUCAUAAUUAUGAGAAAGAGGCAUAGAAAUUGCCAACAGUAUCAUAGCCUUUAUGACUUUGAAUUACUAAUGAAUGCCUUAUGAAGUAUCUGCAGACAUUCAACCUCAAAGAAUUUCAUAGUGCACUCAAUUCUAGCUGCUGCCGGCUCCCAGCAGAAACAACAGUUCUGCUUACGGCAUCGCUCAACAGAACUUCUGUUCUCAGAUGACCUUCUGUUGGUCCAUUAGCAUUUCACUUCCUAAACGUUCUUAGAGCAUGAAGUGCCAGGAAAAAGGGCUACAAAGAGGGUGAAGGGUCUAGAGGGCAAGGUGUUUGAGAAUCGACUGCAGCCUCUUGGCUUGUUCAGCCCAGAGCAGAGGGGGCUGAGAGGAGGCUUAUGGCGGCCUGCAGCUCCUCACAGGGAAUGGCGAAGCAGCGCUGAGCUCUGCUCUGUGUGACAGCGACAGGGCCCCAGGGAACAGCACGGAGGUGUCAGGGGAGGGGCAGCUGAGGGUGUUGUUUCAUCUCUAAAGGUUCUCAGUCUCACUUGUUUUAUCCAGUUCACUU
RNAcentral lists this long non-coding RNA (17115 nucleotides) under Gallus gallus (chicken). Lineage: Eukaryota; Metazoa; Chordata; Aves; Galliformes; Phasianidae. The record is from RNAcentral.